AGCGAUUUCGAGUCUGAGUGAUGUUUGGGAUGAUAUUCUGUCUGAGGUUUCCUGUGAUACAAAUACAAUGAGAUGACACUUCAAUUUCACAGUGUACAAAGGCACCAGGGGAACUGAACAGUUCUUCCGUGAUGAGACUGCUAUAGAUAAAACCAAUGAGACAGAAUUCUGACACAACAUACGCCUGUCGUGACAACAUUAUCAGUCAUUUAGAUUCAAACUUCCCAGCCACAGAUCACAUGGAACACUGUGGAAUAUGGGCCCUGUUUAAAAAUUAAGGGGCAUUAGCGGAGACAAAGUGCAUCUUGGAUGUAAUUCAACUUAUCAACAGGCACGAGUAAUGAUCCAACAGCGAGGCACCUUCAGGCUGCAUAUAAUGCCAAUUUGUCCACCUAAUCUAUCCAUCUUGAGCUCUCAAAGGCAAUUAGAAAGCUGCUGCAAAGCACUUUUGGAGAGUGAUACAUUGCCCUGUGGAUAAUUUUUACAGUUCUUGUGAUGGCUGCUGUGGGAACUCCAGGCAAGAUGAGCAUCCUGAAAACAUCCUAACCUCAAAAAUAUGUUUUUCUGUGCUGUAACUUAAGCCGCGGCCAUGUUUGGUAGAAGCCACGUCAUGAUUCAGAGAGGAGAUUCAGAACUUGCAUGGCUUUUUACCCUCUGCUGUGAAUGUUGCUUCCCAGGUUCACCAUGUGACCAUGGCAACCACAGAAAACACAGAAGAAAACGAGGGUGUAACUUUAGUGGUGACUUUUAUAUAACUCACUUGUUUAAAAUAUAUAUUAAAGCUAAAGGUGACCAACGACCGUGUUAACUGGCAGACAGGUGCUGCAGCUGACAAGCUCUGACUAUCUGGAUGAAUAAACAUUUGGAGUUACGAAGAGCACAGAGUUAGUUUUUUAGCUUUGGGGGUUAAAAAGUAGAUUUGUCUUCACUCUCACUUCUCAGCAUCAAAAGCAGCCAGUCACAAAUGUGUCGAAAUCCACUGUGAUCUAACUUGAGUGUUGUUCUAUUUUUUGGAAUGCUGAAUGGAUGUUUCUUUAUGAAUAUACAGAAUGGUGAUGGAAAAAGAAAAGAUAUUACCAGAUAGUCAGAGUCUCUGGUGAGUGCUGAGUUUAGUCGGAGACUGAGGUGUAUACAAACACACAGACACAUACUCCCCUCUAUAGCUGUUGUUGCUAGCUAUCUUGCAGCUAAUGAACAGUAAGGUAUACUGGCUGUUUGCAGUGAAUAAACCCGCAGUAAAACUCAUGUGGUAAACUAGAUCAAACGCAAAUGAUCUUGCAAUCAAACUUGUGAACACAACCACCUUCUUAGCCUUAGCUAGCUCGGUAGCUGUCAGCCAAUAGGACGUG
Molecule: long non-coding RNA, 1349 nt
Organism: Acanthopagrus latus (yellowfin seabream)
Lineage: Eukaryota; Metazoa; Chordata; Actinopteri; Spariformes; Sparidae
Exons: 2
Source: RefSeq, a predicted model, not a curated record